GACGUAGGGCGCGAGCGUUGUCCGGAUUUAUUGGGCGUAAAGAGCUCGUAGGCGGCUUGUCGCGUCGAAUGUGAAAUCUCAGGGCUCAACUCUGACAUUGCAUUCGAUACGGGCAGGCUAGAGUUCGGUAGGGGAGACUGGAAUUCCUGGUGUAGCGGUGAAAUGCGCAGAUAUCAGGAGGAACACCGGUGGCGAAGGCGGCUUCCUGGACCGACACUGACGCUGAGGCGCGAAGGCUAGGGGAGCAAACGGG
RNAcentral lists this ribosomal RNA (253 nucleotides) under uncultured bacterium. Its description in RNAcentral is "partial 16S ribosomal RNA". It matches the Rfam family "Bacterial small subunit ribosomal RNA", at positions 524 to 776 of the family's 1533-position model. The record is from RNAcentral.